UAUUUAUUGAGUGUGAUCUUGGCUUGGAGUUAAUGCUGGCUAAACGUCUAACACAUGCAAGUUGUACGGGUAAUUUCAGUAGAGGUUAUUAGUAGCGUCGUGGUGAGUAGCGUGGUUAUGAUAGGAUCUUUAAUAUUAAACAUAUAGGUAAUAUUUGAAGAUACGUUGUACCGCAUAGGAUUAAGUAUACUUGACCUAGUCAAGUGCUAGUGAUCCUUAGUUGAUUUGAGAGAAGAAUCAUCCACAUAGGGUAUGAAAACCACCCUACCUAAUGGCAGCAGUGAAGAAUAUUAGGCAAUGCACGAAAGUGUGACCUAUCGAAUUAGCGGGAAUGAAGAAAGCUAUAGUAGCUGUAAAGUUUAUACGUAUACAAGAAUUAUGCUGUAAUGUAUAAGGAGAAGUCAUGGCAAAUACAGGUGCCAGCAGCCGCGGUAAUACCUGAGUGACAAGCAUUAUUCGCAAUGACUGGGUGUAAAGGAUGUGUAGGAGAUUUUAAAAAGUAACUGACUAAAUUUUUGGAAAAGAUGAGCUUUUACUGUUUAUAAAUAUUGGAGUAUCUGUAGAGAGUUGAGGUGUGUCUAAAUAGUGAUAAAAUACUAAGAUUUAGCCAUUCUUGCCAAUCGUAUAAAUAACGGCUCUUAUAGAUUCUGACUCUGAGACAUUAAAGUAAGGGAAAUAAACAGGAUUAGAGACCCUGGUAAUCCUUACCCUAAAUGAUGAUUAUUUAAAGUUAACGCUAAAUAAUCCACCAGGUGAGUAUAGUUGCAAAAUUCAAAGUUAACAGAAUUGGCGGGGGUUAGCACGAAUGGUGGAACAUGUGGUUUAAUGCGAUAAUCCACGUAGAACCUUACCACAAUUUAAAAAACAUGAUAGGAGAUGUUGAAGCUUAUAGUUCUUUUGAACUAUUCGUGGAUAGCUCGCUCUUGCAUGUCUAUGAGUAUUGCAUGGCUGUCGUCAGCACGUGUUGUGAUGUGUAGAAUUAAGUUUUUGUAACGAGCGCAACCUUUGGGCUUAUGUUUGAAUGUAAGGCAUUUUGUAAUCUUUAUAUUUGAACACCAAAGCUGAAGUCAAGUCCUCAUGGUCUUUAUAUUGUGGGCGACACACGUGUUACAAUGGUAAAAACAAAAAAUUUCGAAAAAGAAAUUUUUAGGAAUUUUCAAAAAUUACCUUAGUACGGAUACAUUUCUGAAACUUGAAGUGUUGAAGGAGAAAUCAUUAGUAACCGUAGAUUAUUAUGCUGCGGUGAAUUAAAAAACUAACCUUGCACACACCGCCCAUCACAUUCGAAAAAUUUGUACUUUAGUAAAAAUAUUAAUGUAGCUUGUUUUAUUUAGUAAAAAUUUUUACAAAUGUAGAUUUUUUUUUCUAACAUAAACCAAUCUAGGGGAUCUAUGUCUCGAAAAAAAUGAGCGUAUUUCGCUAACUUACAGGUAAUUUGAAUUAAGUUGACACAAGGUACCGGUAGAGGAAUCUGCAGGUAGAAUAUUUACUUU
Molecule: non-coding RNA, 1493 nt
Organism: Aedes albopictus (Asian tiger mosquito)
Lineage: Eukaryota; Metazoa; Arthropoda; Insecta; Diptera; Culicidae
Source: Rfam